RNAcentral lists this ribosomal RNA (253 nucleotides) under uncultured bacterium. RNAcentral describes it as "partial 16S ribosomal RNA". It matches the Rfam family "Bacterial small subunit ribosomal RNA", at positions 524 to 776 of the family's 1533-position model. The record is from RNAcentral.
UACAGGGGGUGCAAACGUUGCUCGGAAUUAUUGGGCGUAAAGCGCGCGUAGGCGGCUAUCUAAGUCGGAUGUGAAAGCCCCUGGCUUAACUGGGGAAGUGCACCCGAAACUGGGUAGCUAGAGUGCAAAAGAGGGUCGCGGAAUUCCCGGUGUAGAGGUGAAAUUCGUAGAUAUCGGGAGGAACACCGGUGGCGAAGGCGGCGACCUGGGUUGACACUGACGCUGAGGCGCGAAAGCGUGGGGAGCGAACAGG